ACGGGGGAGCAGUGGGGAAUAUUGCGCAAUGGGGGGAACCCUGACGCAGCAAUACCGCGUGAGUGAAGAAGAUUUUCGGAUCGUAAAACUCUUUUAUUAGGGAAGAAGAAUGACGGUACCUAAUGAAGAAGUCCCGGCUAACUACGUGCCAGCAGCCGCGGUAAUACGUAGGGGACAAGCGUUGUCCGGAAUGACUGGGCGUAAAGGGCACGUAGGCGGUUUGAUAAGUCUGAUGUGAAAGGUACCGGCUCAACCGGUGACAUGCAUUGGAAACUGUCAGACUUGAGUACUGGAGAGGCAAGCGGAAUUCCUAGUGUAGCGGUGAAAUGCGUAGAUAUUAGGAGGAACACCGGUGGCGAAGGCGGCUUGCUGGACAGAUACUGACGCUGAGGUGCGAAAGCGUGGGGAGCAAACAGGAUUAGAUACCCGGUA
Molecule: ribosomal RNA, 432 nt
Filed under: uncultured Pseudoramibacter sp.
Lineage: Bacteria; Bacillati; Bacillota; Clostridia; Eubacteriales; Eubacteriaceae
Description: partial 16S ribosomal RNA
Rfam family: Bacterial small subunit ribosomal RNA
Source: RNAcentral